RNAcentral lists this long non-coding RNA (906 nucleotides) under Taeniopygia guttata (zebra finch). RNAcentral describes it as "lncRNA (ENSTGUG00000026466.1)". The record is from RNAcentral. Lineage: Eukaryota; Metazoa; Chordata; Aves; Passeriformes; Estrildidae.
GGGAUACUUCGUAUCCAAAGUAUUUCCUUAUUUCUGUACUCAUCUGACACUCACAUUUACUCCUGCUUUUACAUCUGCUCUGUUCAUAUGGAGAUCAUCUGGCCUUGAUGCUGCUGAGAAUUCUCUCUCUUCCCUCAUGCCUGAAUGUGGAUAAAGACAGCAAAUUCAUUGCUGAACAAGUUGGUUUUACAGACUAGAUAAGCUUACUAUCUAGUAUCUUGUAUUGGAAACUGGAAAAAAACAUGCUUGCUUAAAAUAUACCACAGUGAUGAAAAAGGGAAUUUUCAGGUAUGCUCUCUAAAGAAAUAAAGAGCAAGCUAAGAUUACCUUUCUCUUUGAAACACUUUAAACACCCCUUCCUCCAUGCAAACAGUACUUAAAUUAUUGUGGUUUGCUGGUGGUUCAGUAAGCAAAAUAUUAUUUGUAGUGUCUUUGUAGUAGGCUGCACAGAUUGGGAAUUUUAGUCACUGCUGUUAAUAUUCUUCUUGAAGCAGAAAACCACAACUAAGGGACUGAAAUAUGAAGAAAGAGAGGGGGAUGGAAGAAAAAUGAAAAGCUAAAGCAUACCUUUGUCCAAGGUUUUCAUUUGUGUCUAACCUUCCCUGUCAUUUCUACCCUUCUAAUUCUUUCAGGAUAUGAUAGAAAAAUGUCUCCUCUGACUAUAGAAAAGCACUCUCAAAUUUCUGUGCCACUACUUGAAACACGGUGAUGCUUUUAAUGCAGACAUUUUCCAUGGCCUUAACUGCUCACAGGAUUUACAUUUCCCAGAAUUCCUGGUCAGUAUGGAUUUCAACUAGUGGCCUGAAUGUAACCAAAGACGAGGAAUAUACCUGGGAAAGUACAACCCUUUGCUCUUUUUCCAGAAGGUAUACUUUGUUUUUGCGGAAUACCUUCCUUCCUGGGUAA